GCAAAUGUAGGUUAAUGGUAGACUUACCGGUUUCCAUUCGGUAUGUGUCAGUUCGAUUCUGACUAUUUGUA
Molecule: transfer RNA, 71 nt
Filed under: Ophiocordycipitaceae sp.
Lineage: Eukaryota; Fungi; Ascomycota; Sordariomycetes; Hypocreales; Ophiocordycipitaceae
Description: tRNA-Gly
Rfam family: tRNA
About the family: Transfer RNA (tRNA) molecules are approximately 80 nucleotides in length. Their secondary structure includes four short double-helical elements and three loops (D, anti-codon, and T loops).
Source: RNAcentral